Molecule: long non-coding RNA, 1363 nt
Organism: Gallus gallus (chicken)
Lineage: Eukaryota; Metazoa; Chordata; Aves; Galliformes; Phasianidae
Source: Ensembl
GUGGAGAGGCCCCUGACAUUUCACUUCAUCCCUAUUAGCAAAAUAUUAAUUAUAGAUAAGGAAAAUAUGUUGCCCAGAAAACACCUGGAAAUAAUUGACAAAUGUAUGCGACUUAGAUCAGAACGUAAUUGCCCUGAUUCGACCUAUGCAGCUUUUUUUUGAAAACUGACGUCGCUUGUUUAAGUAAUAGUGUUGGCUACCAGAUGUAAAACCUCCCAGGCUAGCUUCCUUUUCCAUCUGAGCUCAGGCAUAUCACAAAGGCUCUCUAAUGUGGGGGGAUACCAGUAAAAUAGUGAUGAAAACCAUAGGUACGAAUAUCUGCAAGUGGCUCACAUGAAAGUAUUUAUUGUUUUUCAUGCAUGAGCAUUAAACCAUAGUGAAAAGCAAACCUUGAUUGAAAAUGCAUUAAUUAUUUGACACUGGUUUUCCUCAGUCUUUUUUUUCCCCCUUUUUUUUUUUUUCUUUUUGCUAUGGGAUGCAAGUGAAAGAUUACAGCUGAAAAAAUGAUCAUCAUACUUGAGUUUACUUUGUAGCAAAAAAUAAGAAACAAAUUCCUUGCUUGUUGAGAAUAAAUAAGAAGACGGUUUUCCUGAAGAUAAUUCGACUAGAGCACUUUCCCAACGAUCAGUGACACAUGAGGAAGCCCACAAUUUCACAGGAGUUAGCAGUGAGUGGUGUGCAAAUGCAGAAGGCACAAGGUGGAGGAGAAAAGGAAGAAGGAAGGGGAAAAAAAGGAAGGAAUCAAGAUAUUCUACAAAAUCAAGCUGUAUUUGGACCUUCUUGAAUGUCUCCAUUCGACAUUUGGACACUCAAGGACUUCCAUUUAUUCUACUACAUUAUUUGCACAUCCUCGUCCUUACAAAGCUUUCUAUUAAGUUGGUAGACUUCUAAAUACUGGCAUGGAUAUAGAAAUAUAUGUAUAUAUAUAUAUGUAUAUAUAUAUAUAUGUAAUUGAAAGGUAAAUUAUAGCCUUUGUUUUCACAUUGCUUGGGCAUAACAUCAUAGACAUUUUUUACAGCAUUAUUUCUUUGAAAGUCAUCAGUUUCUGCCUGUUCUUACUGUAACUUAUUCAAGUCUAACCUUUCCUUGAAAUCUCAUUUUAAAAUAAUGUUUGUAUUAAUGGCCUAUUAACAGGCUGUCAUUUAAAAUAAGGUUAAAUGUUUAAAAAGUAAGACCAAGCUUAAACCAUUGUUCCGAAAAAUCUUUCAUUUAUUGCAUUCCUUGUGGCUAUUUAAAGACAAAAUUGUAUAGUUAGAGGAUAAAUUACAAAUACAGUAGCCUGUUGUAUUAUUAUAUGAAAUAAUGAAAACUGUGCUGAAAUUUGUAAUAUUAAUUAAGCCUUUUGACUAUUAAUUAAGACUUU